UACAGAGGUGGCAAGCGUUGUUCGGAAUUACUGGGCGUAAAGGGCGCGUAGGCGGCCAUCUAAGUCAGACGUGAAAUCCCCCGGCUUAACCUGGGAACUGCGUCUGAUACUGGAAGGCUUGAGUAUGGGAGAGGGAUGUAGAAUUCCAGGUGUAGCGGUGAAAUGCGUAGAUAUCUGGAGGAAUACCGGUGGCGAAGGCGGCAUCCUGGACCAUUACUGACGCUGAGGCGCUAAAGCGAGGGGAGCAAACGGG
Molecule: ribosomal RNA, 253 nt
Filed under: uncultured bacterium
Lineage: Bacteria
Description: partial 16S ribosomal RNA
Rfam family: Bacterial small subunit ribosomal RNA
Source: RNAcentral